GCCUCAGUAGCUCAGUUGGUAGAGCAAGUGGCUGUUAACCACUGGGUCGUUGGUUCGAGUCCAGCCUGGGGCG
Molecule: transfer RNA, 73 nt
Filed under: Candidatus Zixiibacteriota bacterium
Lineage: Bacteria; Pseudomonadati; Candidatus Zixiibacteriota
Description: candidate division Zixibacteria bacterium tRNA-Asn
Rfam family: tRNA
About the family: Transfer RNA (tRNA) molecules are approximately 80 nucleotides in length. Their secondary structure includes four short double-helical elements and three loops (D, anti-codon, and T loops). Further hydrogen bonds mediate the characteristic L-shaped molecular structure. tRNAs have two regions of fundamental functional importance: the anti-codon, which is responsible for specific mRNA codon recognition, and the 3' end, to which the tRNAs corresponding amino acid is attached (by aminoacyl-tRNA synthetases). tRNAs cope with the degeneracy of the genetic code in two manners: having more than one tRNA (with a specific anti-codon) for a particular amino acid; and 'wobble' base-pairing, i.e. permitting non-standard base-pairing at the 3rd anti-codon position.
Source: RNAcentral